This 551-nucleotide ribosomal RNA is filed under the name uncultured archaeon. Its description in RNAcentral is "bacterial SSU rRNA". It matches the Rfam family "Archaeal small subunit ribosomal RNA", at positions 326 to 879 of the family's 1478-position model. The record is from RNAcentral.
CGGGGUGCAGCAGGCGCGAAAACUCCACACUGUACGGAAGUACGAUGGGGUUAUCUCGAGUGCAGUCCGAUAAGGGCUGCUUUUCCAUAGAGUAAUAUCCUGUGGGAAUAAGAGGGGGGCAAGACUGGUGUCAGCCGCCGCGGUAACACCAGCCCCUCGAGUGGUGGGGACUAUUAUUUGGCCUAAAGCGUCCGUAGCUGGCUGUAUCCGUCCCCCGUUAAAUCCAGCGUCCUAAGCGUUGGACCGCGGGUGAUACCAUACAGCUAGAGGGUGGGAUAGGUGAGCGGUAUUUCUGGGGUAGGGGCGAAAUCCUUUGAUCCCAGGAGGACCACCAGUGGCGAAGGCUGCUCACUAGAACACGCCUGACGGUCAGGGACGAAAGCUGGGGCAGCGAACCGGAUUAGAUACCCGGGUAGUCCCAGCUGUAAACGAUGCUAGCUAGGUGUUGGGUCGGCCACGCGCCGCCCCAGUGCCGCAGGGAAGCCGUUAAGCUAGCCGCCUGGGGAGUACGGCCGCAAGGCUGAAACUUAAAGGAAUUGGCGGGGGAGCAC